AGCUGGUCUGAGUGCAGUGGUGUUUACAACCAACCACAACCAGUUACAAAUUUCUUUGUUCCUUCUCCACUCCUACUGCUUCACUUGACCUUAA
RNAcentral lists this Y RNA (94 nucleotides) under Propithecus coquereli (Coquerel's sifaka). Its description in RNAcentral is "Y RNA (ENSPCOG00000010526.1)". It matches the Rfam family "Y RNA". From Rfam's summary of the family: Y RNAs are components of the Ro ribonucleoprotein particle (Ro RNP), in association with Ro60 and La proteins. The Y RNAs and Ro60 and La proteins are well conserved, but the function of the Ro RNP is not known. The record is from Rfam by way of RNAcentral. Lineage: Eukaryota; Metazoa; Chordata; Mammalia; Primates; Indriidae.